Molecule: ribosomal RNA, 260 nt
Filed under: Mycobacterium sp. ISO865_OTU181
Lineage: Bacteria; Bacillati; Actinomycetota; Actinomycetes; Mycobacteriales; Mycobacteriaceae
Description: partial 16S ribosomal RNA
Rfam family: Bacterial small subunit ribosomal RNA
Source: RNAcentral
ACGAACGCUGGCGGCGUGCUUAACACAUGCAAGUCGAACGGAAAGGCCCUUUCGGGGGUACUCGAGUGGCGAACGGGUGAGUAACACGUGGGUGAUCUGCCCUGCACUUUGGGAUAAGCCUGGGAAACUGGGUCUAAUACCGAAUACACCUCACUGGCUGCAUGGUCUGGUGGGGGAAAGCUUUUGCGGUGUGGGAUGGGCCCGCGGCCUAUCAGCUUGUUGGUGGGGUGAUGGCCUACCAAGGCGACGACGGGUAGCCG